This 226-nucleotide long non-coding RNA is filed under the name Capsicum annuum. RNAcentral's name for it is "long non-coding RNA (CANN_LNC021960)". Lineage: Eukaryota; Viridiplantae; Streptophyta; Magnoliopsida; Solanales; Solanaceae. The record is from RNAcentral.
UAAUAAAGAUGAGAUACAUUUUGUAUGCUAAAGAUACAUUUUGGUCAUCUUGUAUCUCAGUUUAUAUAUUUAUAUAUAAUUAUGUAUCUCGUUGUGUUUUAGUGUAAUCUAUAUCAACAUAUGAAGAAAACAUAAUAGUUUUAAAUUAGAUACAUGUUGUACAUUUUUGUGUGGUUUAUGUAUCUAUUAAUCUGCUUUUUGGCAGUAAGUGAAGGAUAAAAAUUUG